This 928-nucleotide ribosomal RNA is filed under the name Escherichia coli. RNAcentral's name for it is "partial 23S ribosomal RNA". It matches the Rfam family "Bacterial large subunit ribosomal RNA", at positions 2021 to 2925 of the family's 2925-position model. The record is from RNAcentral. Lineage: Bacteria; Pseudomonadati; Pseudomonadota; Gammaproteobacteria; Enterobacterales; Enterobacteriaceae.
UCCACCCGAGACUCAGUGAAAUUGAACUCGCUGUGAAGAUGCAGUGUACCCGCGGCAAGACGGAAAGACCCCGUGAACCUUUACUAUAGCUUGACACUGAACAUUGAGCCUUGAUGUGUAGGAUAGGUGGGAGGCUUUGAAGUGUGGACGCCAGUCUGCAUGGAGCCGACCUUGAAAUACCACCCUUUAAUGUUUGAUGUUCUAACGUUGACCCGUAAUCCGGGUUGCGGACAGUGUCUGGUGGGUAGUUUGACUGGGGCGGUCUCCUCCUAAAGAGUAACGGAGGAGCACGAAGGUUGGCUAAUCCUGGUCGGACAUCAGGAGGUUAGUGCAAUGGCAUAAGCUAGCUUGACUGCGAGCGUGACGGCGCGAGCAGGUGCGAAAGCAGGUCAUAGUGAUCCGGUGGUUCUGAAUGGAAGGGCCAUCGCUCAACGGAUAAAAGGUACUCCGGGGAUAACAGGCUGAUACCGCCCAAGAGUUCAUAUCGACGGCGGUGUUUGGCACCUCGAUGUCGGCUCAUCACAUCCUGGGGCUGAAGUAGGUCCCAAGGGUAUGGCUGUUCGCCAUUUAAAGUGGUACGCGAGCUGGGUUUAGAACGUCGUGAGACAGUUCGGUCCCUAUCUGCCGUGGGCGCUGGAGAACUGAGGGGGGCUGCUCCUAGUACGAGAGGACCGGAGUGGACGCAUCACUGGUGUUCGGGUUGUCAUGCCAAUGGCACUGCCCGGUAGCUAAAUGCGGAAGAGAUAAGUGCUGAAAGCAUCUAAGCACGAAACUUGCCCCGAGAUGAGUUCUCCCUGACCCUUUAAGGGUCCUGAAGGAACGUUGAAGACGACGACGUUGAUAGGCCGGGUGUGUAAGCGCAGCGAUGCGUUGAGCUAACCGGUACUAAUGAACCGUGAGGCUUAACCUUACAACGCCGAAGGUGUUU